Molecule: ribosomal RNA, 344 nt
Filed under: Sphingomonadales bacterium 28-64-96
Lineage: Bacteria; Pseudomonadati; Pseudomonadota; Alphaproteobacteria; Sphingomonadales
Description: bacterial SSU rRNA
Rfam family: Bacterial small subunit ribosomal RNA
Source: RNAcentral
AACUUGAGAGUUUGAUCCUGGCUCAGAACGAACGCUGGCGGCAUGCCUAACACAUGCAAGUCGAACGAACCCUUCGGGGUUAGUGGCGCACGGGUGCGUAACGCGUGGGAAUCUGCCCUUAGGUACGGAAUAACAGUGAGAAAUUACUGCUAAUACCGUAUGAUGUCUUCGGACCAAAGAUUUAUCGCCUAGGGAUGAGCCCGCGUAGGAUUAGCUAGUUGGUGAGGUAAAGGCUCACCAAGGCUACGAUCCUUAGCUGGUCUGAGAGGAUGAUCAGCCACACUGGGACUGAGACACGGCCCAGACUCCUACGGGAGGCAGCAGUGGGGAAUAUUGGACAAUGG